Long non-coding RNA from Octopus sinensis (East Asian common octopus), 227 nucleotides. RefSeq lists it as uncharacterized. The record is from RefSeq and is a predicted model, not a curated record. The transcript has 3 exons. Lineage: Eukaryota; Metazoa; Mollusca; Cephalopoda; Octopoda; Octopodidae.
UUACGUCUAAAUGCAACGGGGAGGAGUUUCGUGACCGUCGGGAUGUUGACAGCGAGGAGGGUGACGAAGAGGCACCGAAGGAGAACGUUGUCAUAACUCUCAUGCAAAAAGAGCGCAGCCAGACACUUCUGCGGAUUUUAAAGUCAAGGAGGAACAAGGCAGGGAAGAAUUUUAAAUUUGGAGCAAAUGUGCAAAACGGAAGCCCGUCGUGUAGGGAAAGAGUGAGA